UACCGGAAGAAGCUACGCAUAUUACGCACUGCAGUGUUUGGUGUACGAGCAGAUUCAGCUGUUUAUAUAUCAAUCAUUAUGACGACUAAGUCAGUGAAAGCUAAAUCUAAGUCUAGAUAUACAGGUGUACACACAAUUUUAGAAUAAAUUGAUUGGGAAGGUGAGACAGAGAUUGUUGUAGGACGCUUCAUUUAGCGAUUGUGGAGGAAUAUUUUUUGAACGGGAGAGGACAUCGUUUUGGACUGGACCUGAGCCCUAGGACCAUGCGUCAGGACUACCUGGCAUAAUGACUCCUUGCUGUCCCCAGUCCACCUGGCCUUGCCGCUGUUCCAGUUUCAACUGUUUUGCCUUCGGCUAUUGAACCCUAAACUGUUCAUUUUUACUCUUGAGGUGCUGUCCUGUUGCACCCUCUACAACCACUGUGAUCUCCACCCGGCACAACCAGAAGAGGACUGGCCACCCCACAUAGCCUGGUUCCUCUCUAGGUUUCUUCCUAGGUUUUUGCCUUUCUAGGGAGUUUUUCCUAGCCACAGUGCUUCUACACCUGCAUUGCUGGCUGUUUGGAGUUUUAGGCUGGGGCUAUAUAAAUUGAUUUGAUUUGAUAGAGGACUGAGGGUCUUCCAAAUAUUGAAAGUGUGUAAAUAGUUACCCAUGUUAUUUUGUAAAUAUAUAUUUUUUCAUAUAUUAUUUAAUCAAUUAUUAUUUUUUUUUUCCCAUUUUUUCCCUCAUUUUUUUUCUAUUUUUUGGGGGGAGAGUGUUUUAGAAUACAAUUUUGGUAUUUUGAAUAUAGUUAUUUGUUUCAAAAUGUAUACCUUUCCCAAUUUGGCCACUUGGGUACAUUUGGGCUACUUGUGUGGGACACCUGAGUGACUUCAUGAUACAUGUCAUGUAGCGCACUCAUUUUGGAAGUUAUCAUUCUGAAACUUUGCACAAGUACUGUUGCCCUCUUAUAUUCUUCACUGAAAUUGUCCCCAUCAUCCUAUCUGAAUGUUUGUUUUAUCUUGUUCAUUUUAAAUAUGAUGAUACAACAAUAAAAAUAAAAAACGUA
This is a long non-coding RNA of Oncorhynchus nerka (sockeye salmon), 1048 nucleotides long. RefSeq lists it as uncharacterized. The record is from RefSeq and is a predicted model, not a curated record. NCBI's taxonomy places the organism in Eukaryota, Metazoa, Chordata, Actinopteri, Salmoniformes, Salmonidae. The transcript is spliced from 2 exons.